Molecule: ribosomal RNA, 553 nt
Filed under: Brachyrhynchus triangulus
Lineage: Eukaryota; Metazoa; Arthropoda; Insecta; Hemiptera; Aradidae
Description: partial 12S ribosomal RNA
Source: RNAcentral
UGGGAUGGCAUUUAUGCAUUUAGUUUGUUGGGUUAGUUUUGAGGUUAUAUGAGUGGAAUCUUGACCUUGAUUGAGCCCUGUGUUGUGAUUAUGCGAAAUUGCGGUAUUAAACUAGGAUUAGAUACCCUAUUAUAAUGUAAUGUUUUUGUUUUCCUUUAAGAUUAAUAGAUGGUCUUUAAAUUAAAAGGAUUUGGCGGUAAUUUAAUCUUAUCAGAGGAACCUGCCCAGUAAACGAUAAACCACGAGGUUAAUUACUUUUAUUUUGCUUGUAUACCUCUAUUUUUGAAUAUACCGGUAGGUAAAUUUUCUUUAAUCAUUAAUUGAAUUAUUUUAGGUCAAGGUGCAGCUGUAUAAAAGGUUGAGGUGGGUUACAAUUUUGUUAUUAUUGGAUUUAGCAUUGUUAUUGUUAGUUGAAAGUGGAUUUGAAUGUAAUUUGUAUUAUCUUAUACUUGUGACUAUAGCUCUAAUUUAUGUACAUAUCGCCCGUCGCUCUCACUAAUAAGGUGAGAUAAGUCGUAACAAAGUAGAUUUACCGGAAGGUGAAUCUGGUAUU